GUGGGGAAUAUUGGACAAUGGGCGCAAGCCUGAUCCAGCCAUGCCGCGUGAGUGAUGAAGGUCUUAGGAUUGUAAAGCUCUUUCAUCGGUGAAGAUAAUGACGGUAACCGGAGAAGAAGCCCCGGCUAACUUCGUGCCAGCAGCCGCGGUAAUACGAAGGGGGCUAGCGUUGUUCGGAAUUACUGGGCGUAAAGCGCACGUAGGCGGAUAUUUAAGUCAGGGGUGAAAUCCCAGAGCUCAACUCUGGAACUGCCUUUGAUACUGGGUAUCUUGAGUAUGGAAGAGGUGAGUGGAAUUCCGAGUGUAGAGGUGAAAUUCGUAGAUAUUCGGAGGAACACCAGUGGCGAAGGCGGCUCACUGGUCCAUUACUGACGCUGAGGUGCGAAAGCGUGGGGAGCAAACAGGAUUAGAAACCCUUGUAGUCC
RNAcentral lists this ribosomal RNA (425 nucleotides) under uncultured bacterium. RNAcentral describes it as "partial 16S ribosomal RNA". It matches the Rfam family "Bacterial small subunit ribosomal RNA", at positions 354 to 796 of the family's 1533-position model. The record is from RNAcentral.